GACGAACGCUGGCGGCGUGCUUAACACAUGCAAGUCGAACGGAAAGGCCCUGCUUUUGUGGGGUGCUCGAGUGGCGAACGGGUGAGUAACACGUGAGUAACCUGCCCUUGACUUUGGGAUAACUUCAGGAAACUGGGGCUAAUACCGGAUAGGAGCUCCUGCUGCAUGGUGGGGGUUGGAAAGUUUCGGCGGUUGGGGAUGGACUCGCGGCUUAUCAGCUUGUUGGUGGGGUAGUGGCUUACCAAGGCUUUGACGGGUAGGCGGCCUGAGAGGGUGACCGGCCACAUUGGGACUGAGAUACGGCCCAGACUCCUACGGGAGGCAGCAGUGGGGAAUAUUGCACAAUGGGCGGAAGCCUUAUGCAGCAACGCCGCGUGCGGGAUGACGGCCUUCGGGUUGUAAACCGCUUUCGCCUGUGACGAAGCGUGAGUGACGGUAAUGGGUAAAGAAGCACCGGCUAACUACGUG
This 468-nucleotide ribosomal RNA is filed under the name uncultured bacterium. RNAcentral's name for it is "partial 16S ribosomal RNA". It matches the Rfam family "Bacterial small subunit ribosomal RNA", at positions 28 to 507 of the family's 1533-position model. The record is from RNAcentral.